UCCCUGGUGGCUCAGACGGUAAAGCAUCUGCCUGCAAUGCAGGAGACCUAGGUUCGAUUCCUGGGUCGGGAA
RNAcentral lists this transfer RNA (72 nucleotides) under Bos taurus (domestic cattle). It matches the Rfam family "tRNA". Rfam says of the family: Transfer RNA (tRNA) molecules are approximately 80 nucleotides in length. Their secondary structure includes four short double-helical elements and three loops (D, anti-codon, and T loops). Lineage: Eukaryota; Metazoa; Chordata; Mammalia; Artiodactyla; Bovidae. The record is from Rfam by way of RNAcentral. RNAcentral also lists the same sequence under 2 other names.